AAGUGUAUAUCUGGUUUUCAGUGGCGAUACCCUCCCCUUUCUCUAUUUAGCCUCUUCCCUUUCUCCACUCUUAUUUUCUCCCUUUACACUUAGUUUUUCUCAUAUCAAAUGAGUAUUACUUUCCAUUUUCUUAGUUGAAUCUCACCAAAUUAAAAAAAAAAAAAGAAAAAAGUUGACAAUCUCCAAUCUCUCUAGCAGUUGUCGAGUUCUAACUUGAUUGGAGUUCUCUAUUACCUAAUGCAUUUCCUCAAUCCGCAGCCAAAUAAACAUGGUUGUGAAGAAGAGAAGGAAAUUUGACUUAGAUUGGAGCUCUAUCAAUUUGUAUGGUUUGAUUAUUGGGUGAUUAUUUCCAGGUAGAAUGUGCUUGGUUUUUGGUUGAGCUCUUUUUUAUGUUAUUUGGAUUGUAUAAAGGAAUUCUGUCUUGGUUUUUGGUAAAGUUGGACAUAUAUAUUUUUGCUUGCUGGUUUUAGAUGCUUAGGUGUUGAACUGGUUGGAGGCAUUUCAUGAAGUGGGUUCUAUUUUUCAUUACUUUUUUUUUUUAGUCCUGU
Molecule: long non-coding RNA, 548 nt
Filed under: Manihot esculenta (cassava)
Lineage: Eukaryota; Viridiplantae; Streptophyta; Magnoliopsida; Malpighiales; Euphorbiaceae
Description: long non-coding RNA (MESC_LNC005708)
Source: RNAcentral